GUUAGAAAACUAAUGAAAUUUCCUACAACUUGUGUGAAAUCAUAUUUUCCCUAAAAUGAAAGGGAAACGAGUCAAAACUCGGCUCCAAUUCGCAGGACCCUAUAGUUACGAGAAUAACAUAAUUUCCUUUAUCAGCCAUGGACAGCCAAGGGAAAAAGGGGAUUAAGAAAUAAAUCAAUUACAUAAAAUUAGGUCCAAGGGCAUUAGGGUUUGGGUAGGUUGCAUAAGUAGGUAUCCUUUUAUUUUAUUUCCACAUUUUCUUUUCUCUUCCUCUCAACACUCUAGUGGCUGCCAAACACUAUAGAGAAAAGAUUGUCUCUCAUUUAGUUCUCGCCAUCAACACUACGAGAAUUUUUUAAUCUCAAGGAGGUAGAGGCUCGUUGUGAAGUUUUUCUCGUUUCGCUUUACUCGGACGUGAGGUAAAGGCAAUGGUAAGAUGAUUCGACCAUGGGUUGGAGAGCUCUGGGGGCGAGGUGUACAUUGUCAGCUGCUCGGCCACCACGGUCGAGGGUUUGUACAGGGACUGAGGCCUAAAAUAUGUAUUUUGCCAUUAGAGUGGAUUUGCAUGUUUAUAGCAUUUGGAAACCCUGUAAAUGUGUCAUUUAAACCCUGAUUUGGGAUCCCAUGUAUCAAACAUUUGUUUUAAUGAAUAUUAUUUGCUUAUAACCAAAACCUUUUAAACCUAACCUAUUUAUGUCUUUAGACUCACAUUUUUAUUUCAAUGACUUGAUUUGCAAGUCUCGCACUAUUUUAAACACACAGUGUAACAGUCUUGGUUAUCCAGGGCGUUACAACUUGGUAUCGGAGCGUCCUUGGUUUAAGGGUUCUUGAAGAUAGGCUAGACAUGUA
Long non-coding RNA from Humulus lupulus (European hop), 849 nucleotides. RefSeq lists it as uncharacterized. The record is from RefSeq and is a predicted model, not a curated record. Lineage: Eukaryota; Viridiplantae; Streptophyta; Magnoliopsida; Rosales; Cannabaceae. The transcript has 3 exons.